Molecule: ribosomal RNA, 397 nt
Filed under: uncultured bacterium
Lineage: Bacteria
Description: partial 16S ribosomal RNA
Rfam family: Bacterial small subunit ribosomal RNA
Source: RNAcentral
AUACGUAGGGGGCGAGCGUUGUCCGGAAUGAUUGGGCGUAAAGGGCGCGUAGGCGGCCCGGUAAGUCUGGAGUGAAAGUCCUGUUUUUAAGAUGGGAAUUGCUUUGGAUACCGUCGGGCUUGAGUGCAGGAGAGGUAAGUGGAAUUCCCAGUGUAGCGGUGAAAUGCGUAGAGAUUGGGAGGAACACCAGUGGCGAAGGCGACUUACUGGACUGUAACUGACGCUGAGGCGCGAAAGUGCGGGGAGCAAACAGGAUUAGAUACCCUGGUAGUCCACACUGUAAACGAUGAAUGCUAGGUGUAGGGGGUAUCGACCCCUUCUGUGCCGCAGUCAACACAAUAAGCAUUCCGCCUGGGGAGUACGGCCGCAAGGUUGAAACUCAAAUGAAUUGACGGGG